UGAACGUGAGAGUUUGAUUCUGGCUCAGAGCGAACGCUGGCGGCAUGCUUAACACAUGCAAGUCGCACGAACCUUUCGGGGUUAGUGGCGGACGGGUGAGUAACGCGUAGGAACCUAUCCUGAGGUGGGGGAUAACACUGGGAAACUGGUGCUAAUACCGCAUGAUACCUGAGGGUCAAAGGCUUUUGUUGCCUUAGGAGGGGCCUGCGUUUGAUUAGCUAGUUGGUU
This 228-nucleotide ribosomal RNA is filed under the name Saccharibacter sp. EH611. Its description in RNAcentral is "partial 16S ribosomal RNA". It matches the Rfam family "Bacterial small subunit ribosomal RNA", at positions 1 to 254 of the family's 1533-position model. RNAcentral also lists the same sequence under 1 other name. Lineage: Bacteria; Pseudomonadati; Pseudomonadota; Alphaproteobacteria; Acetobacterales; Acetobacteraceae. The record is from RNAcentral.